AUAUAUUUGCGAAGGUGUAGUAUCCUAGUCGAUGAACUCUACUUAGAGGGUGAUGAAACAAGCACCAAAGGGCAUAACGAUGAAGUUUCUGGUGUCAGUUUUGGUUGCCCAAAUUGGGACUGAUGCUGGGAGUUAAGAUUUUUGGACGCAUUGUAAUGGCAUACAAUAUCCGUUCCAAUUAUCGCGGAGACCCAAUCAGGUGGAAAAUUCCACUUCUUGGGAGAGAAACCUGCAAGGCGACGCAAAAGUUGUGUGCAGUGUAGCCUGCUUUGAGUGACAUCUUAGGGAUUCGGUGUUAAAGGUCUUGCUCAUGUUUUUGGCCAGGCAUAGCAAUGACAAGCUGAUGAAAUUUGUGUUGCAAAACUAAGCUAAGAGUAGAGCUAGUUGUUAAGGAAAGCUUCUAGGCUAUUGCAAAGGAGUUUGCAGUUAUAUUGGGGAUUAUAGUGUGAUCUUAGUGGCGAUUCGGUGCAAGAUUCUGCGUAAUAGGAAACUUCCUCGGCGGUGACGCCGGGGUUACGGAAUUUGGGAAAUCCAACCGAACCUAUGUCGCAAGGUUUACCUAAUAUAAUGCCUUCGUCUAUUU
RNAcentral lists this small RNA (583 nucleotides) under chicken gut metagenome. The record is from RNAcentral.